Molecule: ribosomal RNA, 407 nt
Filed under: uncultured bacterium
Lineage: Bacteria
Description: bacterial SSU rRNA
Rfam family: Bacterial small subunit ribosomal RNA
Source: RNAcentral
UGGGGAAUAUUGGGCAAUGGGGGAAACCCUGACCCAGCAACGCCGCGUGAAGGAAGAAGGCUUUCGGGUUGUAAACUUCUUUUACCAGGGAAAAACACAAUGAUGGUACCUGGAGAAAAAGCUACGGCUAACUACGUGCCAGCAGCCGCGGUAAUACGUAGGUGGCAAGCGUUGUCCGGAAUUACUGGGUGUAAAGGGCGUGUAGGCGGAACUACAAGUCAGGGGUGAAAACUAUGGGCUUAACCCAUAGCCUGCCUUUGAAACUGUAGUCCUUGAGUGCUGGAGAGGCAAUUGGAAUUCCUAGUGUAGCGGUGAAAUGCGUAGAUAUUAGGAGGAACACCAGUGGCGAAGGCGAAUUGCUGGACAGUAACUGACGCUGAGGCGCGAAAGCGUGGGGAGCAAACAGG